UACGUAGGGUGCGAGCGUUGUCCGGAAUUAUUGGGCGUAAAGGGCUCGUAGGCGGUUUGUCGCGUCGGGAGUGAAAACGCCGUGCUUAACACGGCGCUUGCUUUCGAUACGGGCAGACUAGAGGUAAGCAGGGGAGAACGGAAUUCCUGGUGUAGCGGUGAAAUGCGCAGAUAUCAGGAGGAACACCGGUGGCGAAGGCGGUUCUCUGGGCAUUACCUGACGCUGAGGAGCGAAAGUGUGGGGAGCGAACAGG
RNAcentral lists this ribosomal RNA (253 nucleotides) under uncultured bacterium. RNAcentral describes it as "partial 16S ribosomal RNA". It matches the Rfam family "Bacterial small subunit ribosomal RNA", at positions 524 to 776 of the family's 1533-position model. The record is from RNAcentral.